RNAcentral lists this unclassified non-coding RNA (281 nucleotides) under Hevea brasiliensis (rubber tree). Lineage: Eukaryota; Viridiplantae; Streptophyta; Magnoliopsida; Malpighiales; Euphorbiaceae. The record is from RNAcentral.
CAGAAGAGGACGAUAACUGGGGACAAAGGAUAUGUACAACACGUCAAUGAAGAGAAGUGGGGAGAUACAACGAGCAUCUAGACGACUGAUUUGGUACAUGGCAGUGACGCAUGGCGCCCGUUGAUGCCGAUAGAUGGCAGCAGAGGGCGGAGGCUCAUCAUCAAUUUCGAAUUGUGGAUCACGGCAACCGGCCUGGCGGGUUUCGGGAGCCAAGGUGAUGAAGUGGGCCAGGGCACCUGGGUUCCGGCGAUUAAUUGAAGGUUCUGAUUGGAUCAAAGUUG